AGCUCGUGUCGUGAGAUGUUGGGUUAAGUCCCGCAACGAGCGCAACCCUCGCCCUUACGUUUGCCAUCAUUCAGUUGGGCGACUCUAAGGGGAACGUGCCGGUGAUAAGCCGAGAGGAAGGUGGGGAUGACGUCAAGUCCUCAUGGCCCUUACGGGCUGGGCUACACACGUGCUACAAUGGUGGUGACAGUGGGCAGCGAGACCGCGAGGUCGAGCUAAUCUCCAAAAGCCAUCUCAGUUCGGAUUGCACUCUGCAACUCGAGUGCAUGAAGUUGGAAUCGCUAGUAAUCGCGGAUCAGCAUGCCGCGGUGAAUACGUUCCCGGGCCUU
Molecule: ribosomal RNA, 329 nt
Filed under: uncultured Mesorhizobium sp.
Lineage: Bacteria; Pseudomonadati; Pseudomonadota; Alphaproteobacteria; Hyphomicrobiales; Phyllobacteriaceae
Description: bacterial SSU rRNA
Rfam family: Bacterial small subunit ribosomal RNA
Source: RNAcentral